CUACCCGCUGAACUUAAGCAUAUCAAUAAAGCGGGAAGGA
Molecule: ribosomal RNA, 40 nt
Filed under: Rhizoctonia solani
Lineage: Eukaryota; Fungi; Basidiomycota; Agaricomycetes; Cantharellales; Ceratobasidiaceae
Description: partial 28S ribosomal RNA
Source: RNAcentral